Molecule: transfer RNA, 73 nt
Filed under: Prochlorococcus marinus str. MIT 9215
Lineage: Bacteria; Bacillati; Cyanobacteriota; Cyanophyceae; Synechococcales; Prochlorococcaceae
Description: tRNA-Pro (TGG) (tRNA-Pro-TGG-2-1)
Source: RNAcentral
GUAGACAUAGUGCCCUACUAGGGUUGUUAAGUGCUUUGGGAGCACUAGGUCGCAGGUUCGAAUCCUGUCGCCC